CUACUUGUUGAUCUUGCACUUUCUUUUCCUUUCACAGAAAGAAGACUUGGAUUCAUGAGGGUGUAUCCACCUAAUGACAAUACGGUGAAGUUAACCCAAGAGAACAAUGCAUACCAUUAAUCUGCUCAUGCUUAAUUGGAGGAAGAACUGCAGGCACAGCAGGGCAGUCCUGGGACCCAAGGGUUUCCCAGGAAUGGAAGAAGGGAGCAAGGCUGGAAAGCGUGAAGACUGAUGAGAGGAGACGGGCUACUAUUGCAAAGGACAGAAGUAGAAUCACAAGGAGGCUCUGGUCCCUAAAGACGAGUGCAUGGACCAAAGUUGCUCUCCAGAGCAGCAGAGGAGACGUGGCUCCAACGAGAGGUACCGCUUGUGUGUGACACACCGACUGGAUCUGUACUCUACACCACCACGCGCACAGAUGCUUCCCUUAAACUACUGCAGUUUGUCACCAUUCUGCUCCAACACAUCCACUGUACAUUGGUUUUACAGCUCUACUCGGGAUUGCUAUUGCAAUAUUCUGGAGUAUUUAUCUGUUUUUUUGUAAGGGAAAUGCUCAUCAUGUACUGCUAUCUGGAGACCAGCAAUUCCAGUUCAUAAGCUUUCAAACUUGUUUUCAUUCUGUAAUGGAGUGAAAAGCCCAUCUUUUGAGAGGCUUCACAGGCCAUAUUUUGCAAAAUUCUUGACUUGCAGAAUAAAGAAACACCCAGACUUUGGCUUAGAAAACUUGAGAUUUUUAUACCCUUGAGAGGCAAAGGGUCUUGGCCCUCAAAAGUGCUCUUCUUCACACCUUCCUUCAAAUGGGCAGCCCUCAGCAAAGCUUUUAUGGGAAAAGGAAAAAGUACAUUUGAUGAAAAUCCAAACAAGAUCCAGCCAGCUUUCCUCAUGCUCUUUACGCUUAAUCUUCAGACCCCAGCCCUUCACAAUGCCCUUCAAAAUAUGUUUAUGGGACGAUGUGUUUUCAGCCUCCUGGUUUGCUCUCCACCACAAGCAACUGGUCAAGUGGGCAAUAGUAGAAGGCACAGAAGUGUCAUAAAUCUUUACGAGACCUGAUAAAACUUUUAAGGCAGCUCCUACCUCCCCAGCCCAGCAGAAGGUGUGAUGCAGGAUGCAUAGUUGCUCUGGUAAUGUCACACCAUCCCUCCUGCGUCUGUAGCAGCAAGGUGUCAGCUCAGCACACCUCAGUGACUUCACCAUCCUCAGAUGCAGAGAGGGAGACGGCAAUAUUAUCUCCAGUAAUUCUCACCUCUCCCGGAGCAAGGGCCCUCUGUGUGCACAUGCAACUUGAAGGCUGGCCUUUCACUUCUUCCUAUAAGAGCAAAGGAAAUAUUUUUUUUUCAGACCUCUAAAGAAAGUUUACACCUUUAUUUCUGAAACACCAAGGAAGGAAGGCUUUAAAUAAUACAUUUCCAAAGUGCUUUUGUGCAGGUGUCAGGGAUGGAUGAACUCAUUUGAACUACAGAGCAGUUGGAAAAGUGGUAUUCAAACAGCACACCUGAAGUCAGCUGUGAAACUGCUCUGCUGCUACAAAAAAGCCACUGAAGAGCAUGAGAGGUGCCUCAGGGAGGGAAUCGCCACCACUGACAGCUCCCAAUCAUGGAAGCUCCAGUAUCCAGUGAGGGACACAACUCCUGGCAGAGGGAGAAGGGCAACAGCUACCUUAUCCUCUCCCCUUCUUGAAAACAAAGAAGAAAACAGUGGUUUGUUUAAAAGAAACAAGACUACAGUAUCCCUUUGACCAGUCACUGGCAAGCAAUUCAUGAGUUAUAGGUAAUGUAUUUUGAUGAAUUCAGGGAGGAAGUGAUUAGGGCAAUAUGCUGAGAAAAGUAGUCAGUUUUGCAACACAAUUGUUAUAUUUAUAUUUUCAGUAAUGACCUGAAGAAGACUACCCACAACAUUUUUGGUUUUUACCUAUGGCAAACAAAAACUACAGUGUUUCUGAGUCUAAGCACAGACUGAGAAGAAAGAUGAGAGAUUAGUGGAGAUAGUGUUACACCUUGCUUAUAGAUGGGAAACUAGAAGACCUUCUUACAUGACCAUAUGGAAGGAAACCAGAUCCCUCACAAUACAUGCUCCCAGGCUAGAACCUAAAGCUUAUGUUUUCAUAAGUCCUUGGGACUUCAUAGCCUGUUCAGGCAUCAGAGAAGACAAUUAAAUGAGCAAACAUCCUUUCUCAUUGUUCUCAGUAGGAACUCUUGGAUUUAACCAUUCUGAAACGAUACCCUUAAUAUGCUGAUUUCAGAGCAUUUACACCCUGCGGGAGUUUUGUCCUCUGACUGUGUCAACUCUAACUAUAGUGGAUGGGAAACUGAAUGAGUUGUAAUUGGUUUUAUCAACUACACAGCAGAAACAGACGGAUGAAAAAAAUCACAGAUGAUCUUCAUCAGAAAAUGUCAUGCUCUACAGCAUUCUGGGACUAUGUGGACUUCUCUGGGACCAUAUAUGUCUUUUCCAGACCCACAGGGCAAUACAAGUAUAAUGUGCUCAAACAUUUGAGGCUGAUCUUGUGUAUUAAAAAAAAUGAACAGGAAAAAACUCAAAUUUCCUUUCAGAAUCUCACUGAAUAUACCAGAGAGUCUGCAGCCUGAGCAUAACAAUGCAACAAAAUCAACCAGAUCUGUCUCCUCCUCCCUGAAAGCUAAUGUUGCUAUGCUGAACGUUAUCACCACAGAGGAAAAAACCAUCUGACAUUACUCUGGAGUGAGGUUUCUCUAUGAUUUUCAGAAAAAAAUCCCACUCUACAUAAUCAAAUGCCUUUCUGUUGAGGCUGAGGUUAUUAAUACUCUGUUGAGGUUUGCAUUUUGCUUUGAUUAAAACAAUUAAAUUAACUUCCUUGUAACAGAAGAUGUAAAAUACCUCCCCAGCUUCAAAAUCCACCUCACCUUUGCAGUAUUGCAGAUGGUAUUUUAUCAGGUAUUCUGCCAAAAAAAACCUGAGGUCUUGGUCUUGGGAUUCUUUAAAUAUGUAAGUAACCUGAGAGAUAUGAAACACUAACAAAGUCCAGCUUCAUACUGCUAGUAGUUGCCUUUGCUGCUGGCCAGCGUACACUUUUCUUAGAUGAAUACCACCAUUUGUUUAUGGAUGAAAUAUCUUUAAAACAGCAAUGUUUAAGUGAGUUACUAGAAAUAACAGAGCUAAUUUUUAGUGAUGUGAUGUUAAGGCAGAAAAAUUGUCCUUUAGUAUCUGAACAGCGCUCAGAAGAUGUUUACUGGCAAAUCUGGAGAUAAAAUAAUGGGACUUUCUGGGGUUUGUUUCUUGUUUGCUACACUCUCUAUCUUAAAUGUUAUUUAGAAUUAAAAAUUCUGUAUCUUUCAUGUUUUCUUAAAAUCCAAACAAGAUAUAGUCCUUAGAUGAGGCCUUUAUGACUAUUGCUGCCAUUUGGGAAGCAGUAGUUCCCCACUUUUAUGUUUUGAUGAUUUUGGGGGGGAACAAUUUUCUCUUAAUCCUGCUACAAUUUCUAUCCACUGACUUUGUCUCAGCUAAUAAUAACCAACAACUUGGCAUAGCUUUGCAGUUAAAAUUUUUGAGUGUCUUCUUCUCAUAAUAUGCUUUUUAAAUCAGUCCCUUCCCACUUUCAGUCUGACUAUCUGAAAAUGAUCUUCUGAAGAUCAAAAGGACGAUUAAAAACCUGGGAAUUUCACCAUACUUACCACAGAUUUAUCAACACAAUUUUAACAUGGAAAAGUUCAUUUUUCACUAUUGUUUUGUGGCAGCUUUUUAUAAGGAGUGUGAGGAAUAAUCAGAACUGUGAACCUGUGUGUUUUAACAAAUCAGUGGAUUUAAAUUCUAACAGGCAUUGACCAGACUCCAUCCCAAGAAGAUUUUUCCUUAUUUAAAAUUAUAUUUAGAAAGAGUUAAAAAUAUUCCAACAAUCAAAAGCAGGCAAGAAAAAGAGCCUAAACAUCUUAUACAGUAGCUACAAGCACAAAUAAAAUAAUGGUUUAGCAGAGAUUUGGGUAAUGCCAAACUCCAGUUAUGUGACCACAAAGCAAGAGCAGGUCUCAGGUCUCUUCUGUAUCCAAAGCAAAGGUUUAUCUGUAACUGAAAUAUAUUCUAAAGUGGAAGGA
Molecule: long non-coding RNA, 4064 nt
Organism: Falco peregrinus (peregrine falcon)
Lineage: Eukaryota; Metazoa; Chordata; Aves; Falconiformes; Falconidae
Exons: 3
Source: RefSeq, a predicted model, not a curated record